Molecule: ribosomal RNA, 406 nt
Filed under: uncultured bacterium
Lineage: Bacteria
Description: bacterial SSU rRNA
Rfam family: Bacterial small subunit ribosomal RNA
Source: RNAcentral
AGAGUUUGAUCCUGGCUCAGAUUGAACGCUGGCGGAAUGCUUUACACAUGCAAGUCGAACGGCAGCACGGGAGCUUGCUCCUGGUGGCGAGUGGCGAACGGGUGAGUAAUGCGUCGGAACGUACCGAGUAAUGGGGGAUAACGCAGCGAAAGCUGUGCUAAUACCGCAUACGCCCUGAGGGGGAAAGUGGGGGACCGCAAGGCCUCACGUUAUUCGAGCGGCCGACGUCUGAUUAGCUAGUUGGUGGGGUAAUGGCCUACCAAGGCGACGAUCAGUAGCGGGUCUGAGAGGAUGAUCCGCCACACUGGGACUGAGACACGGCCCAGACUCCUACGGGAGGCAGCAGUGGGGAAUUUUGGACAAUGGGGGCAACCCUGAUCCAGCCAUUCCGCGUGAGUGAAGAAGG